CCCCUAGAUGUUCUGGGCCGCACGCGCGCUACACUGAACAGUUCAACAAGUCUUAACCUUGGCCGAUAGGUCUGGGUAAUCUUUGAACGCUGUUCGUGAUUGGGAUAGACCUUUGCAAUUAUGGGUCUUCAACGAGGAAGUCCUAGUAAACGCAAGUCAUCAGCUUGCAUUGAUUACGUCCCUGCCCUUUGUACACACCGCCCGUCGCACCUACCGAUUGAAUGGUCCGGUGAAAUCUCGGGACGGCGGCUUGGUCGCUUGCGUCCGACUGCUGAAACUUGAUUAAACCAUAUCAUUUAGAGGAAGGUGAANUCGUAACA
This 320-nucleotide ribosomal RNA is filed under the name uncultured eukaryote. RNAcentral's name for it is "partial 18S ribosomal RNA". It matches the Rfam family "Eukaryotic small subunit ribosomal RNA", at positions 1470 to 1796 of the family's 1831-position model. The record is from RNAcentral.